This 406-nucleotide ribosomal RNA is filed under the name uncultured bacterium. RNAcentral's name for it is "bacterial SSU rRNA". It matches the Rfam family "Bacterial small subunit ribosomal RNA", at positions 354 to 777 of the family's 1533-position model. The record is from RNAcentral.
GUAGGGAAUAUUGCACAAUGGGGGAAACCCUGAUGCAGCGACGCCGCGUGAAGGAAGAAGUAUCUCGGUAUGUAAACUUCUAUCAGCAGGGAAGACAAUGACGGUACCUGACUAAGAAGCCCCGGCUAACUACGUGCCAGCAGCCGCGGUAAUACGUAGGGGGCAAGCGUUAUCCGGAUUUACUGGGUGUAAAGGGAGCGUAGACGGACAUGCAAGUCUGAAGUGAAAGGCAGGGGCUCAACCCCUGGACUGCUUUGGAAACUGUGUAUCUGGAGUGCCGGAGAGGUAAGCGGAAUUCCUAGUGUAGCGGUGAAAUGCGUAGAUAUUAGGAGGAACACCAGUGGCGAAGGCGGCUUACUGGACGGUAACUGACGUUGAGGCUCGAAAGCGUGGGGAGCAAACAGGA